This 376-nucleotide ribosomal RNA is filed under the name uncultured bacterium. Its description in RNAcentral is "bacterial SSU rRNA". It matches the Rfam family "Bacterial small subunit ribosomal RNA", at positions 524 to 898 of the family's 1533-position model. The record is from RNAcentral.
UACGUAGGUGGCGAGCGUUGUCCGGAAUUACUGGGUGUAAAGGGCGUGUAGGCGGGAAAGCAAGUCAGAUGUGAAAUUCCGGGGCUCAACUCCGGCGCUGCAUCUGAAACUGUUUUUCUUGAGUGCUGGAGAGGAUAGUGGAAUUCCUAGUGUAGCGGUGAAAUGCGUAGAUAUUAGGAGGAACACCAGUGGCGAAGGCGGCUAUCUGGACAGUAACUGACGCUGAGGCGCGAAAGCGUGGGGAGCGAACAGGAUUAGAUACCCUGGUAGUCCACGCUGUAAACGAUGGAUACUAGGUGUAGGAGGUAUCGACCCCUUCUGUGCCGGAGUUAACACAAUAAGUAUCCCACCUGGGGAGUACGGCCGCAAGGUUGAA